GAGGAAUAUUGGACAAUGGGCGCAAGCCUGAUCCAGCCAUGCCGCGUGCAGGAAGACGGUCCUAUGGAUUGUAAACUGCUUUUAUACAGGAAGAAACACUCCCUCGUGAGGGAGCUUGACGGUACUGUAAGAAUAAGGAUCGGCUAACUCCGUGCCAGCAGCCGCGGUAAUACGGAGGAUCCAAGCGUUAUCCGGAAUCAUUGGGUUUAAAGGGUCCGUAGGCGGCCUUAUAAGUCAGUGGUGAAAUCUCCUAGCUCAACUAGGAAAUGGCCAUUGAUACUGUAGGGCUUGAAUUAUUGUGAAGUAACUAGAAUAUGUAGUGUAGCGGUGAAAUGCUUAGAUAUUACAUGGAAUACCAAUUGCGAAGGCAGGUUACUAACAAUAUAUUGACGCUGAUGGACGAAAGCGUGGGGAGCGAAC
RNAcentral lists this ribosomal RNA (420 nucleotides) under uncultured bacterium. Its description in RNAcentral is "bacterial SSU rRNA". It matches the Rfam family "Bacterial small subunit ribosomal RNA", at positions 356 to 773 of the family's 1533-position model. The record is from RNAcentral.